RNAcentral lists this ribosomal RNA (440 nucleotides) under uncultured bacterium. RNAcentral describes it as "partial 16S ribosomal RNA". It matches the Rfam family "Bacterial small subunit ribosomal RNA", at positions 338 to 795 of the family's 1533-position model. The record is from RNAcentral.
CCUACGGGUGGCAGCAGUGGGGAAUAUUGCACAAUGGGGGAAACCCUGAUGCAGCGACGCCGCGUGAGUGAAGAAGUAAUUCGUUAUGUAAAGCUCUAUCUGCAGGGAAGAAAAUGCCGGUACCUGAGUAAGAAGCCCCGGCUAACUACGUGCCAGCAGCCGCGGUAAUACGUAGGGGGCAAGCGUGAUCCGGAAUUACGGGGUGUAAAGGGGGCGUAGACGGCAGUGCAAGUCUGGAGUGAAAGGCGGGGGCUCAACCCCCGGACUGCCCUGGAAACUGUACGGCUGGAGUGAAGGAGAGGUAAGUGGAAUUCCUGGUGGAGCAGUGAAAUGCGUAGAUAUUAGGAGGAACACCAGUGGCGAAGGCGGCUUACUGGACUGUAACUGACGUUGAGGCACGAAAGCGUGGGGAGCAAACAGGAUUAGAUACCCGAGUAGUC